CACAGACCUUGACAGAAAACAGAUCCCUUGUUGUUGGUGGUGUUCCUGAAGUUCGUGGACAGAAGAAAUACCAUGAAAAGAAAAACUACUGUUUGUUCUGUUACAAGCCUCAAUCCAAGAUUGCGCGACAUCUGGAACGUAAGCAUCCAGAUGAAACUGAGGUCGCUUCAGUAAUAAUCUUGCCAAAAAAAUCCAAACAACGGAGGAUUGGUCUUGAUCUCCUUCGCAAGCAAGGAAAUAGGACACAUAACAUUGAGACAUUGCAAAAAGGAAAAGGGACGCUGGUAGCAUGCAAGCGACAGAGUAAUGACCACUCUAUUCCAGCAGACUAUCAACACUGUUUUGCUUGCUUUGGGCUUUAUAAACGCAAAUAUCUUUGGAAACAUGCAAAACAAUGCUCACUCGCUGUAGAAGCUCGCAAAUGUUUGCCUGGCAAAACACGAAUCCAGACUCUCUGUGCAGGUUCUCAGCCUGUGCCUAAAGAAGUGAACAAGAAAGUAUGGGCACUUGUGAACGGCAUGACUCAGGAUAACAUUACUCAAGCAAUAAAAGAAGAUAGCCAUAUCUUAAAAGUUGGAGAAAAAAUGUAUAAUAGACAACGACAAACCGCUUCACAACACAACAACAUACGUCAGAUUAUGCGAGGCCUUGGCAGACUCUUGAUCCAAGGAAGGCGGGUGACUCCUCUGAAAAAGAUGGAGGAUUACAUCCAUCCAAAGAACUUUCAUCAUGUCAUCCGGGCAGUGAAAAAAGUAACUGGCUUCAAUGAAAAUGGCAACAAGUUUGAUAAACCCACUUUUGCUACAAAGCUAGGGCAAAGUGUCCAGAGAGUGGCUGAUAUCAUUGAGGCUGAAGCACUUGCAUCUCAGAAUAAUGAUAAAAAGGUGCUUGUUCAGGAGUUUAGGCGUAUGUACUGUCUCACUUGGAAUGAGAUGAUCUCUUCAGCUGCAUACCGCACGCUAGAAGAAAAGAAAUGGAACAAACCAAAGCUUAUCCCUUUAGCAGAUGACGUAAAAAGAAUGCACAUGUGUAUGGCUGUGAGGCAGAAAGACUACAAUGAACAGUUGCUGAAUCAUAAAACUCCCAAGAACUGGAGCAAUCUGGCCAAAGUUACACUUGCACAGGUGAUCCUUUUCAACAGGAGGAGAGAAGGAGAAGUCUCAAAUAUGAAAUUGGAAACCUAUGUUGGAAGGGAUCGAUCUCCACUCAAUAAAGAUGUAGCUGAAGCGUUAUCAGAGGUCGAAAAAAAGCUUUGUCAGCAUUUUGAAAGAGUGGAGAUCAGAGGAAAGCGAGGCAGGAGAGUACCGAUCAUUCUCACUCCAACCAUGGUUCAAUCCCUGGACCUGAUGGUAAAGGAGAGGAGCUCAUGUGGCGUGGGUAACAAUUCCUUCUUGUUUGCCAGACCAGGAUAUGACUCAAGACAGAGGGGGUCAGAUUGCAUUCGUGAGCUCGCGAGAAGCUGUGGUGCACACAAACCUGAAGCUUUCUCAUCAACAAAGCUAAGAAGGCAGGUGGCCACUUUGUCAAGAGUGCUAAAUUUGAAUGACUCGGAACAGGAUCUGUUCGCGGACUUCUUAGGACACGAUAUCAGAGUCCACCGAAAGUUUUACCGCCUUCCUGAAGGAACUUUGCAACUUGCAAAAAUAAGUAAAGUACUGAUGGCAUGUGAACAAGGGAGGCUGGCAGACUUUAAGGGAAAAGGACUGGACCAAAUAUCAAUAACGCCUCAUGAUGGAUCCCACGUCAUAGAAGAAAGUUCAGGGAUGUCAUCUGAAGAUGAUGUAAAGGCAGAUUCAACAGGAGGAACUUCAAUGACUCAGAACCAGGAGGAGCAUCACAACCUGCAGCUUGAUGAUGAGCAACGUGUAGAAGGGAAAACUACAGUGACUGAGAUCAAGAAGGUGGCCGUAGAACAGGAGCUGGUAGUGGACAGUUGCAGCUCAAAAGGUGAGCUCACACAUUUGUCAUGCUCGUCAUCUUCAAGUGUAGAAAAAACCCUGAGAAUACAGGAAUAACAAGGCCUCAGCAUUGGUUCUGUGAUCC
Long non-coding RNA from Gouania willdenowi (blunt-snouted clingfish), 2043 nucleotides. Lineage: Eukaryota; Metazoa; Chordata; Actinopteri; Blenniiformes; Gobiesocidae. The record is from Ensembl.